This 1439-nucleotide long non-coding RNA is filed under the name Homo sapiens (human). RNAcentral describes it as "HSALNT0329496". Lineage: Eukaryota; Metazoa; Chordata; Mammalia; Primates; Hominidae. The record is from RNAcentral.
CAAGGGUUUUCAGAUAGAACGUCAGUUUCCUCCGGAAUUCAUUCCAGUCACCGUCCUUGAUAUGGAUUGGAUGUCGCUAUAAAGAAACCAAGAAGGUGGCAUUAGAAAUCAAGAAGAAAAUCACAGAGACCCCAGCAUGGAAAUGGGUGCAGCAUGUGAGCUGUGAGUGCCCCAAACACAGAUGGCCCAGGAACUCAGCAAAGGCUUCCACUUCUUGUUUGACCCAAGAAAUGUCAUGCAAAGGAACUCCUGCAAACCUUGCCCAUCUCCACACCUACACCCCAGGGAAGCUGCCACCUGGGCUGGGAUGCCCACUGCCCCAGGCUGAGCAAGGGCACUUCUUUGGGGAGCUAAAAUCCUUCAGCCCCUGGACCAUCACCCUCUUUUCUCAGAGAAAGCCCUCCUCCCAGGCCUGCUCUUUCAUCAGUACUCAGCUCAAGAAGAUGCCAGAGGUCUUCUCCUUUGCAGAGCCUGGAUCCACUUUCUCAAAUCCCCAGGCACCCAGAGGCAAGUAGGGCAGAGACAUCUUUGCUGAAGGCCCUGUGAAGCCCAAGAGCACAAGAGAUUUGCCCUGGCCUGAGGGGGCUCCCAGUACAAAGGACUUUUAGCUUUAAAAAACCAGGAUGGGUCCAGGCAAACCUCACUGUAGUGAGGAUCUCUAUGCUGUCCCUGAUUGGUGAGUCUCUCGUCUAUACAUAGAACCUUACAUUUGGCUUCAUUUGUAGGAGUUUAGUUUGAAACAUUUACUUUACUAUUGAGCACUAACGUUUUCCAAGCAUUUUCUUGCAUACUGGAUCUCGCAGGUUUGCGAUGGACUUUUUCAACUCUGAAAACUUUCUGAUUUAUCCACUGAGUCACAUUCUUGUCACUCUACUGAACAUGUACAGUAUUCCAUGAGGCUGGGAUGAGGUUUUAGCUGCUAUUGAAAAGCCCAUGGCCUGGAAUGACCACACUUCAUUUCUGCAGAGAUGCCUGUGCCAACAGGGCCAAGAGGUCACUGACAGCAGGUAGGAGAUGGAUUUGGAGUUCCUGGGUCUCUCUCUGGUCUUGGUAAUUGUAACUGUACUGGCCUCUCCAACGGUUGUUUUCUUAACUGAAAUUGCCGUAGUUUUUCACUUUGAAACAUCUAGGCUGUAUUCACACACCAAUGUUUAUAGUGGCUGUCUUAUCCCGUUAGGGCUGCUAUAAUAAAAUACCAUACUGAGUGGCUAUUCAGAACAGAAAUUUAUUUCUCACAGUUCUGGAGGAUGGAAGCUCAAGAUCAAGGAACCAGAAGAUUUGGUGUCCGGUGAGGACCCACUUUCUGGUUCAUAGACAGCCAUCUUCUUGCUAUAACCUCACAUCGAAGAAGGGGUAAUGGAGUUUUCUGAGGUGUCUAUUAUAAAGGCCUAAGCUUAUUCAUGAGGGCUCUGCUCUCAUGACCUGAUCACCUCCUAAAG